Molecule: ribosomal RNA, 407 nt
Filed under: uncultured bacterium
Lineage: Bacteria
Description: partial 16S ribosomal RNA
Rfam family: Bacterial small subunit ribosomal RNA
Source: RNAcentral
GACGAACGCUGGCGGCGUGCCUAAUACAUGCAAGUAGGACGCAGUUGCGAACGGGUGAGUAACGCGUAGGUAACUACCUAUUAGAGGGGGAUAACUAUUGGAAACGAUAGCUAAUACCGCAUACUAGUAGAUGGACCUGCGGUGUAUUAGCUCGUAUGUAGGGUAAAGGCCUAACUAGGCAACGAUACAUAGCCGACCUUGGAGGGUGAUCGGGCACACUGGGAAUGGUACACGGCCCAGACUCCUACGGGAGGCAGCAGUAGGGAAUCUUAGGAAAGGGGGGGAACCCUGACCGAGCAACGCCGCUGGAGUGAAGAAGGUUUUCGGAUCGUAAAGCUCUGUUGUUAAGGAAGCGGUACUUAACCAGAAAGGGACGGCUAACGACGUGCCAGCAGCCGCGGUAAUUC